GACGAACGCUGGCGGCGUGCUUAACACAUGCAAGUCGAACGGAACGGCCCUGCUUUUGUGGGGUGCUCGAGUGGCGAACGGGUGAGUAACCCGUGAGUAACCUGCCCUUGACUUUGGGAUAACUUCAGGAAACUGGGGCUAAUACCGGAUAGGAGCUCCUGCUGCUUGGUGGGGGUUGGAAAGUUUCGGCGGUUGGGGAUGGACUCGCGGCUUAUCAGCUUGUUGGUGGGGUAGUGGCUUACCAUGGCUUUGACAGGUAGCCGGGCUGCGCGGGUGAGCGGCCACAUUAGGACGGAAAUGCGGCCCAGACUCCUACCGUAGGCAAAGGAGGGGUGUAGAACACUAUAGACGGAGCGCUAGUGCAACAACGCCGCGUGGCGGGAGACAGCCAUCGGGUUGUAAACCACUUUCCCCUGUGACGGAACGUGAAUGACGGUAAUGGGUGAAGAAGCACCGGCUAACUACGUG
This 468-nucleotide ribosomal RNA is filed under the name uncultured bacterium. Its description in RNAcentral is "partial 16S ribosomal RNA". It matches the Rfam family "Bacterial small subunit ribosomal RNA", at positions 28 to 507 of the family's 1533-position model. The record is from RNAcentral.